GGUAAGGUGACUGAAUCUAGGUGAUAGACUGUAAAUCUAUUUAUGGGGAUCUCUUCCCCCCUUACCA
RNAcentral lists this transfer RNA (67 nucleotides) under Tanaocerus koebelei. RNAcentral's name for it is "tRNA-Tyr". Lineage: Eukaryota; Metazoa; Arthropoda; Insecta; Orthoptera; Pneumoridae. The record is from RNAcentral.